Molecule: ribosomal RNA, 564 nt
Filed under: Peltophryne peltocephala (Tschudi's Caribbean toad)
Lineage: Eukaryota; Metazoa; Chordata; Amphibia; Anura; Bufonidae
Description: Peltophryne peltocephalus (Tschudi's Caribbean toad) partial 16S ribosomal RNA
Rfam family: Bacterial large subunit ribosomal RNA
Source: RNAcentral
CGCCUCUUGAAUUAAUAUAAGAGGUCCAGCCUGCCCAGUGACCCUGUUCAACGGCCGCGGUAUCCUAACCGUGCGAAGGUAGCGUAAUCACUUGUUCUUUAAAUGAGGACUAGUAUGAACGGCAUCACGAAGGUUAUACUGUCUCCUUUUUCUAAUCAGUGAACCUAAUCUCCCCGUGAAGAAGCGGGAAUAUAACUAUAAGACGAGAAGACCCUAUGGAGCUUAAAACAACACAGCACUUGCUAAAAAACUGAGCAUUCCCGAAUUUUUACUUUCUAGGCAACAUGACUGUAAGUUUUUGGUUGGGGUGACCACGGAGUACAAUAUAACCUCCAUGUUGAAAGAAUUUUUUUCUAAGCCGAAAAUUACACUUUUAAGCAUCAAUAAGUUGACAUCUAUUGACCCAAUAUAUUUGAACAACGAACCAAGUUACCCUAGGGAUAACAGCGCAAUCCACUUCAAGAGCUCCUAUCGACAAGUGGGUUUACGACCUCGAUGUUGGAUCAGGGUUUCCCAGUGGUGCAGCCGCUACUAAAGGUUCGUUUGUUCAACGAUUAAAACCCU